AUUCAACUGACGAGUCCAAAAUAGAACGAGAUGCGCCCCCUGGAU
This 45-nucleotide non-coding RNA is filed under the name Schistosoma margrebowiei. The record is from RNAcentral. Lineage: Eukaryota; Metazoa; Platyhelminthes; Trematoda; Strigeidida; Schistosomatidae.